RNAcentral lists this ribosomal RNA (252 nucleotides) under uncultured bacterium. Its description in RNAcentral is "partial 16S ribosomal RNA". It matches the Rfam family "Bacterial small subunit ribosomal RNA", at positions 524 to 776 of the family's 1533-position model. The record is from RNAcentral.
UACAGAGGGUGCAAGCGUUAUCCGGAAUUAUUGGGCGUAAAGAGCUCGUAGGCGGUUUGUCGCGUCUGCCGUGAAAGUCCGGGGCUCAACUCCGGAUCUGCGGUGGGUACGGGCAGACUAGAGUGAUGUAGGGGAGACUGGAAUUCCUGGUGUAGCGGUGAAAUGCGCAGAUAUCAGGAGGAACACCGGUGGCGAAGGCGGUCUCUGGGCAGUAACUGACGCUGAGGAGCGAAAGCAUGGGGAGCGAACAGG